RNAcentral lists this long non-coding RNA (217 nucleotides) under Ananas comosus (pineapple). Its description in RNAcentral is "long non-coding RNA (ACOM_LNC019605)". The record is from RNAcentral. Lineage: Eukaryota; Viridiplantae; Streptophyta; Magnoliopsida; Poales; Bromeliaceae.
UAUGAGGAUAUAAAAAGCUUAUAAUUAAGGGAUAAUUGCCAAUAUACCCUUCAUGCGUUUGAAUAUAUCCGAUUUGUCCCUACUUUUUUUUUCUUUCUAAAAUACCCCUCAUAUGUUCCACCGUUAUUCCAAAAUACCCCCGCAGUUAUCCCCAAGUUAAAACCUAAUUAAAAUACCUAUUUUACCCCUAUCUUAUUAAACUAUUUUCUUAAAUUAU